AGAGUUUGAUCCUGGCUCAGAACGAACGCUGGCGGCGUGGAUAAGACAUGCAAGUCGAACGGAAUAUCAUGAGUAGCAAUACGAGUGGUGUUUAGUGGCGAACGGGUGCGUAACACGUGGAUACAUUCCGGGAAGCGGGGGAUAGCCCAGGGAAACUUGGAUUAAUACCGCAUGUGAUCGAAAGAUCAAAGACGGGGACCGCAAGGCCUGUCACUUCCCGAUUGGUCCGCGGCCUAUCAGCUAGUUGGCGGGGUAAAAGCCCACCAAGGCUACGACGGGUAGCUGGUCUUAGAGGAUGAUCAGCCACACUGGAACUGAGACACGGUCCAGACUCCUACGGGAGGCAGCAGUGGGGAAUAUUGGACAAUGGGCGCAAGCCUGAUCCAGCAAUGCCGCGUGGGUGAAGAAGGCCUUCGGGUUGUAAAGCCCUUUUGUACGGGAAGAAAUCUUCUGGGCUAAUACCCCGGGAGGAUGACGGUACCUGAAGAAUAAGCACCGGCUAACUACGUGCCAGCAGCCGCGGUAAUA
Molecule: ribosomal RNA, 528 nt
Filed under: uncultured bacterium
Lineage: Bacteria
Description: bacterial SSU rRNA
Rfam family: Bacterial small subunit ribosomal RNA
Source: RNAcentral